Molecule: long non-coding RNA, 823 nt
Organism: Helicoverpa armigera (cotton bollworm)
Lineage: Eukaryota; Metazoa; Arthropoda; Insecta; Lepidoptera; Noctuidae
Exons: 4
Source: RefSeq, a predicted model, not a curated record
AGCAUUUACAAAGUAUGUCGGGUCCUACCGUCGUCAUGUGGUCAGUUUUUAUGCUGAGAAGAAUCAGUGUAAAGCUCAAAGAACGAGCUAUACGAGUGUUAAGCCUCUCGACAUUGAAAACGUAAAUGUGCAGAGAUGGUGCAGUAUUUGUGCGGAAUCUGUCUCCUAGGAUAUCUUAGGGUCUGCCUGUUCAUAUCAAUGUUCUUUGUUCGGGUCCUGCUUAGGUCAUUAACAACAUUACUAACCACUGUUAGCAAAUUUUUUAAGCAAUUUGUUUUUGCAGUGAAUACAAGGGGAUUCUAGUCAUGCGUUAGGGUCUUGACUCAUGACAUCAAUAAGAAUGCUGAUAAUGUGUCACUAUCAGGUGCCUAUACUACAACUCUUCCCGAAGAAAGGCAGAAAGAGAGACACACUAAUGACCUUAGCGGUAGCUUACUACAAGCUGCAACUCACAGAAGAGCAACUAUUAUGAAUAUCUUUGUAUAUCAACCAACAGUUCUUCAAACCAUACAGACAGAAUUGAGUUGCUGGGGAGUUUGUUCCACGGCUUCUGCUGCUGAUUUUCAGCCUAUUUUGAAUAAAUGACUUUAUCUGUAGCCUUAAUUUUAUGUAAAUAAACCUUUACCUCUGUGUAAAUGAUUGUCUCAUUUUAUUUUUUAUCUUAAGAGUUCUUGCUUAUAUCGCACAAGCAACAAAUAGGUACUAUAAUUAUUAUUGCCAUAAUUAUACUUUGAAAACAAAGCAUGAGAGUUUUGCUAGAAUGAAACCAACAAGUCUGGAGAACUAUUACUAGUAAAUGAAUAUUAUUUAAAGACACUUACUA